Petromyzon marinus (sea lamprey) is the source of this 1683-nucleotide long non-coding RNA. RefSeq lists it as uncharacterized. The record is from RefSeq and is a predicted model, not a curated record. Lineage: Eukaryota; Metazoa; Chordata; Hyperoartia; Petromyzontiformes; Petromyzontidae.
UCAGGCAGAUUAUUUUAUAGGAAUCGUUAUAUAUCACAAAUAAGUUGCAGUAAUAUGAAAAUAUAAAAGUAAAAAUGUGCUACAGUCUGUAUUUAAAUGUAACGGGCACAUGUAAUCACAGUUUUAAAUCCGAAACAAUGAGUGUCAAAGCAAUGGCCUCUAAGUGAGAAAAGUUUUGUAGAGCAUAGUGCUAAGGUGUGGGAGUAGUUAAGGGUUAAGAGAGGUAAGCUGCUGCAUGCAGGCGGUGAGCCUACUCGUUCAUCCAAGACCAUAUUUGUUCAUAUGUACCAUUGGCCAGCGUUCCAACGCUUUGCCUUUUGACGAUAAAAAUCAAUUUGUAUGGAUUUGCAAGAUCCAAUUCUGUGCUCUGGCUGCCUAUGCGCUUGCUGCGUUCUAACUCCUUUUUAGUAUCAGCCUCCCUAACCAAACCCACAGCCCUUAUCUCUCUCCUCUCCUCUCACUAUCCUCCAUCUCAUAUUCAUCGCUGUCCCCCCACCCCCAUUAUCUCCACCUUUCUGUCUCCCCAGACACACAAGCUACCACCAACAUCGCACGCCCGCUGCACCCAGGAUGGAUGGGGCAAUACCUAACAUCUUAAUGGAAGCAGACACGAGCAACACAGUCAGCAAAAAGACGACGACCAACAUCUCUGCGCUGCAUCAGUUCCGCAAUUGAAUCACCAUCAGCAGCAGCCACGGACAAUCCACUGCUGGAUGAAGGACACAAGCUUCCACCAACUCUCAUGAUCCAGCGAUGUAAAAAAAUCCACCUGAGCACCUGCACAAGAGUGUAUUUCAUCGCCCCAUCUCUACCAUCGCAGAUGAUUAAAUAAGAGUUGCACGUGACCAAGGACCAGAUUCCAGGCUGGACUACCAAUUGGGGGAAGAUAUGCAACCUCAUAUAUGCACACUGGUUCAGUGCAGGUUGGUGAAGAAAUUCACUUGACAUAGGGGAGUCAGGUGACCUUAGUCAUUGCAGUAGCACCAUGUUGAUUGCAAGUGAUGUUCGGAUGUCUUAAUCGCCCGUUUGUCGUCAGUCUAUGAUGCGGUCUGAAUUUAUCUAAAAUGAUUCUAACUUUGUGUUGCAUCGCUUUACAUUCCCGUUGUUUUGCUUAUUUGAGCUGGAGCUAGAGGUUGUACCGCCGAUAUAAAAAAAAACAUCUUCCUUCAGAGAGUGGCUUUUGGUGACAUGGGGGUCACAUGCCAUUACGAUGUGCUUCAGGCUUGUACCUUGUCCACUGAAGCAUCUCAGCCUCAUUCCAUUUAAUGUUAAAACAGGAAUCGGAAGCAUGAGCUAUGGCAUGUGUGCACACAUACAAAUAAGACAAAUAUUCCCCGUAUAGCGUGCCCAGGCUGGCAGGUCAAGUUUUGUCGGUGACCACAUAUUUAGGCCAGCACGGUACACAUGAGAGUGGGUGUGUGUGUGACUUGGCAGCAUGCCCGGCUGCCUUCACCUCCCCAGUGCUGACGUUUCCACAUUGCAUCGGGUAAUCAUUUCAGGUUGAGUUGACCUAGGUGGUGACCCAGGUUCAGUGAACGUAAAUCACCACCGAGGAAAAGGCGUGGGCCGGGAAUCUAAAUGUUGGUCGCCGGAUUUGUAGCACCCAGGCCACCACUCCAUCCCGGCACGAGCACUCACUCGCGCACGCUCACCCACCCACGCACGCACGCGCACGCUCACCCA